Molecule: long non-coding RNA, 2320 nt
Filed under: Helianthus annuus (common sunflower)
Lineage: Eukaryota; Viridiplantae; Streptophyta; Magnoliopsida; Asterales; Asteraceae
Description: hypothetical non coding rna
Source: RNAcentral
UUUCUUUCUUCUUUUCUCUAUACGUUGGUGUUCUAACCAAUAAUCACCGAUGCGAUGCUCUGUCCGAUCGAUUCAUGAACCAUCCAACAAAUACCGAAGUGCUGUGCUUUGUGAAUUUCGUUAAACGGAUGCCAAAGUAUUAUACUUUGAGAGUUCGUUAAAUGGAUGCCAAAGUACUAUACUUUGUGAUUUCGGUAAACGGAAUCCAAAGUGUUACACUUUGUGAAAUUCGUUAAGGUUCGAAUCUCGUGACUACCGUUAAGGUUUGUUUUGGAUUUUACACAAAUACGUAUUCCAUUCUGUUAAAACUAUAUAUUUAACUACCAAAAAUACUCCCAACUACACACUCACAAUCAAACAAACUAUUAAAUCAUCAGAAGAUCCAGAAUAAUAAAGUGUAUGCUUAAUUAUCGGAAGAAGUAGAAUCAAGAAGCUUGUUAACUCAAUCUUGCAUGCUUAUAAAGUAAUUACAGUAUAUUGGAGUAAGAAUUGGAUCCGGCACCGAAGGCAUCAAGAAGUGGCUUAUUUUAUUAAUUAAAUCAAAUUAAGAAAUAUUGUUUUUAUUAAAAGCUACCUUUGUAAAACAUGGAAUUUAUUCCAUCUAUUUAAAUAAAAUCCGGUGUUUCUAAACUCUGAUAUUUUCCUAACUCACAGUCCUGAUGAAAUUUCCGCUGCAAUGUUUUUCAAAAUAAUCACCGGUACCACGGGACUGCUCACGGCACCGAUUCCGGCCAGAUGGGGUUGGGGGUCGUGACACCUCACAAACAAAAGUCAACAUCUAUUUUACAUAUUUCAUGCAUUCUAAGUUGUGAUGUCAUCAAUGAUGUCACCUAUGUGAUGUCAUUUAUGAUGUCACCUAUGUGAUGUCAUGCUUGUUCAAAUCCGCAACGAACCCGAGACUCGACAUAAGACGAAGACGACAGAUGAAUGCACCAACAGACUCCCCCUCAGAUGUUGACGAGUCUUAAGUGUCGAGUCUUCAACGUCUUUGGUCUUUAUCAGUCUUAACGCUCUCUGAAAUAUCUCACAGUGUAAGCAUCCUCAAAUCUUUCUCUUCUCUUUUUAUCAGCAUCAACAGACUCCCACGAACAAUCUCUACUCGGAUGUCUUCAGACUCCCACUUUCAAUAUGCUGGGAUCGCAGUCUGGCAUGUUGAAAUCACAAAGUCUUCAGGUAUUGGAACCUGGCACUCAAUCUUCAGAUAACCUUCACAUUCUCUACCCAAAAAUAAAUUUUCUGAUGAUAACAUGUAAAACUAAUCUCAUCAUCUAAUGAAUCACUAGCAGAAAUUAUACAAUCAAAGAAUGAUUUUACAAUGUUAAUCUUUGAAAAACCAUUUAAAGAUAUAUCAUUUUUCAAAACAACACACUAUCCCAACCCAUCUGUUCAUCAUGUUUAGCACUCGGAAUUUUGAAAAUCAACUUUUCAAUAUCAGUUGUCAAAAAUCUUUUUGUAUUUUUCAAAAAUUUAUGCUAAAACACACUGAAAAUCUUUUUGGAUUUUUGACAUAAGAGAAAUAAAAUGCAGUAAAGAAAUAUUUACAAACAUUAUUUUUGUGAGUUUGUGUAAGAGGAUCAUAUCAGCUUAUGAGACAAAUCACCAACACCGUUAAGCUUGAUUUCAUUUUAAGUUUUAAACAAUUUACCUAGAUUGUCAGUAUACUGGUCCACUUAAAUUUUCACACAAAGUUCAACUGAUCCGAGAUACGAUAUUAAUGUCUUAGAAACUAAAACUUAUCCGUGUGUCCCACUACUUGAAUAUACUCCCGUAUCCAGAUCCUAAUAUUUAGUCUUACAGGUGAAUAUACCACAGAUGAUAUCUGUAAGGGGUUAGGUGCGAAACCGUGAGAGCUCAGGUCAGAACUUCCGUUCAGCAGAGAGAUGACGGCUCGACUUUUGGUGGGUCCCCUUUAGAGGAUCUUUUUUACAACAGCAAUGACUAUCAAUUUUAUUGUUUCAUCGAUUUGCUGAGGGCGGCGCUUUUUCAAGCAUUUGCAGAAAGUAUUAUCCGGGGACUAGGUCAAUACUUCCAUAGAGCAAAAGUCCCGGGAUAAUACCCCAGAUAUCACUAAGCAUAAAGACCUAGUAUCUCAGAAUAAGGGAUCUUUCAAACAAGAUUUCAGGGGUUACCUAUAUAUCCAAGAAGUUGUUACCCACAGAAUAAGCAAGUUUGAAUUUUUACGGUUUAUAUCUCUUCACAAUUUACUAAAUGUGUAAAAAUCUACUGACACAUCCGUAGUAAGAUUGUUUAUCACUUUUAAACUUUCCAAUUCUUUAGCAUGUUGUAAUAGUCCACUGAUGUCUAUCAUUUCCUCUUUUUC